This 488-nucleotide ribosomal RNA is filed under the name Ocellularia sp. 6 EK-2014. Its description in RNAcentral is "SSU rRNA". It matches the Rfam family "Bacterial small subunit ribosomal RNA", at positions 655 to 1196 of the family's 1533-position model. The record is from RNAcentral. Lineage: Eukaryota; Fungi; Ascomycota; Lecanoromycetes; Ostropales; Graphidaceae.
AUUGAGUACGGUGAGUGUAGAGAUAAAAUUUUUUGAUACCACUUAGGAACUGGUAACAGAGAAGGCUACCUUCAAAGUAAAAAACUGACGUUAAGGGACGAAGGCUUGUAACAAAUAAUAGGAUUAGAUACCCUAGUAUUUUGAGCAGAAAAUGAUGAGUGUCAUAUACAAGAUAAAUGUUUUUGUGUAUAAAUGAAAGUGUAAGCACUCCACCUCAAGAGUAACGUGGCAACACGGGAACUGAAAUCAUUAGACCGUUUCUGAAACUCGUAGUGAAGUAUGUUGUUUAAUUUGAUGGUCCUCAAAUAACCUUACCACAAUUUGUAUAACUAUUGUACGAUAGUUACAAGCGUUGCACGGCUGUCUUCAGUCAAUGUUGUGAAACUUUGGUUAGAUCCAUUUAAUUGACGUAAACCCUUACUUUAAUUAUUUUAAAGUAGUUCGCCGCUAUAUUGGUAGUGAUAUAAGGGACUAGGACAAGUCAUCAU